AGCAGUGUAGUAUAAUGGGUAAGGAACUGGUCUUCUAACCCAAAGGUCACAGGUUCGAUUCCUGGGCAGGACACUGCUG
This 79-nucleotide transfer RNA is filed under the name Anguilla anguilla (European eel). Its description in RNAcentral is "tRNA-OTHER". Lineage: Eukaryota; Metazoa; Chordata; Actinopteri; Anguilliformes; Anguillidae. The record is from RNAcentral.